Molecule: unclassified non-coding RNA, 148 nt
Organism: Pongo abelii (Sumatran orangutan)
Lineage: Eukaryota; Metazoa; Chordata; Mammalia; Primates; Hominidae
Rfam family: Metazoan signal recognition particle RNA
About the family: The signal recognition particle (SRP) is a universally conserved ribonucleoprotein. It is involved in the co-translational targeting of proteins to membranes. The eukaryotic SRP consists of a 300-nucleotide 7S RNA and six proteins: SRPs 72, 68, 54, 19, 14, and 9.
Source: Ensembl
GCUGGGUGUGGUGGUGCACGCUUGUAAUCCCAGUUACUCAGGAGGCUGAGGCAGGAGAAUUGCUUGAACCCGGGAGGUGGAAGUUGCAGUGAGCCCAGAUUAUGCCACUGCACUCCAGCCCGGGCAAUAGAGCAAGACUCUGUCUCAG